GUUAUAGGGUCAAGCGAACAAGUGCAUGUGGUGGAUGCCUUGGCGAUCACAGGCGAUGAAGGACGCGGUAGCCUGCGAAAAGCUACGGGGAGCUGGCAAACGAGCUUUGAUCCGUAGAUGUCCGAAUGGGGAAACCCACUCCUUAUGGAGUAUCCAUGGCUGAAUACAUAGGCCAUGUGAAGCGAACGCGGUGAACUGAAACAUCUAAGUAACCGCAGGAAAAGAAAUCAACCGAGAUUCCCAAAGUAGUGGCGAGCGAAAUGGGAUGAGCCUUGUACUCUUUAUUUGUAUUGUUAGCCGAACGCUCUGGAAAGUGCGGCCAUAGCAGGUGAUAGCCCUGUAGGCGAAAACAGUAUGAAAGAACUAGGUGUACGACAAGUAGGGCGGGACACGUGAAAUCCUGUCUGAAGAUGGGGGGACCAUCCUCCAAGGCUAAAUACUCGUGAUCGACCGAUAGUGAACCAGUACCGUGAGGGAAAGGCGAAAAGAACCCCGGGAGGGGAGUGAAAUAGAUCCUGAAACCGCAUGCAUACAAACAGUCGGAGCCUCGUAAGGGGUGACGGCGUACCUUUUGUAUAAUGGGUCAGCGACUUACGUUCAGUAGCAAGCUUAACCGUAUAGGGCAGGCGUAGCGAAAGCGAGUCCGAAUAGGGCGUUCAGUUGCUGGGCGUAGACCCGAAACCAGGUGAUCUAUCCAUGGCCAGGAUGAAGGUGCGGUAACACGUACUGGAGGUCCGAACCCACUAACGUUGAAAAGUUAGGGGAUGAGCUGUGGAUAGGGGUGAAAGGCUAAACAAACCUGGAAAUAGCUGGUUCUCUCCGAAAACUAUUUAGGUAGUGCCUCGUGUCUCACCUUCGGGGGUAGAGCACUGUCAUGGUUGGGGGGUCUAUUGCAGAUUACCCCGCCAUAGCAAACUCCGAAUACCGAAGAGUGCAAUCACGGGAGACAGACAUCGGGUGCUAACGUCCGGUGUCAAGAGGGAAACAACCCAGACCGCCAGCUAAGGUCCCCAAAUAUGGCUAAGUGGGAAACGAAGUGGGAAGGCUAAAACAGUCAGGAGGUUGGCUUAGAAGCAGCCACCCUUUAAAGAAAGCGUAAUAGCUCACUGAUCGAGUCGUCCUGCGCGGAAGAUGUAACGGGGCUAAGCCAUAUACCGAAGCUGCGGAUGCGAGCUAGUCUCGCAUGGUAGGAGAGCGUUCCGUAAGCCUGCGAAGGUGCCUUGUAAAGGGUGCUGGAGGUAUCGGAAGUGCGAAUGCUGACAUGAGUAGCGAUAAAGGGGGUGAAAGGCCCCCUCGCCGUAAGCCCAAGGUUUCCUACGCAACGUUCAUCGGCGUAGGGUGAGUCGGCCCCUAAGGCGAGGCAGAAAUGCGUAGCUGAUGGGAAGCAGGUCAAUAUUCCUGCACCGUCGUUAGAUGCGAUGGGGGGACGGAUCGCGGAAGGUUGUCCGGGUGUUGGAAGUCCCGGUCGCUGCAUUGGAGAAGGCGCUUAGGCAAAUCCGGGCGCAGGAUUCAAGGGUGUGGCGCGAGCUCCCUCGGGAGCGAAGCAAUUGGAAGUGGUUCCAAGAAAAGCCUCUAAGCUUCAGUCUAACGAUGACCGUACCGCAAACCGACACAGGUGGGCGAGAUGAGUAUUCUAAGGCGCUUGAGAGAACUCGGGAGAAGGAACUCGGCAAAUUGGUACCGUAACUUCGGGAUAAGGUACGCCCUUGUAGCUUGACUGGCCUGCGCCAGGAGGGUGAAGGGGUUGCAAUAAACUGGUGGCUGCGACUGUUUAAUAAAAACACAGCACUCUGCAAACACGAAAGUGGACGUAUAGGGUGUGACGCCUGCCCGGUGCCGGAAGAUUAAAUGAUGGGGUGCAAGCUCUUGAUUGAAGUCCCGGUAAACGGCGGCCGUAACUAUAACGGUCCUAAGGUAGCGAAAUUCCUUGUCGGGUAAGUUCCGACCUGCACGAAUGGCGUAACGAUGGCCACACUGUCUCCUCCCGAGACUCAGCGAAGUUGAAGUGUUUGUGAUGAUGCAAUCUACCCGCGGCUAGACGGAAAGACCCCAUGAACCUUUACUGUAGCUUUGCAUUGGACUUUGAACCGAUCUGUGUAGGAUAGGUGGGAGGCUAUGAAACCGGAACGCCAGUUUCGGUGGAGCCGUCCUUGAAAUACCACCCUGGUUUGUUUGAGGUUCUAACCUUGGCCCGUGAUCCGGGUCGGGGACAGUGCAUGGUAGGCAGUUUGACUGGGGCGGUCUCCUCCCAAAGCGUAACGGAGGAGUAC
RNAcentral lists this ribosomal RNA (2270 nucleotides) under Burkholderia ubonensis. RNAcentral describes it as "bacterial LSU rRNA". It matches the Rfam family "Bacterial large subunit ribosomal RNA", at positions 1 to 2311 of the family's 2925-position model. The record is from RNAcentral. Lineage: Bacteria; Pseudomonadati; Pseudomonadota; Betaproteobacteria; Burkholderiales; Burkholderiaceae.